RNAcentral lists this ribosomal RNA (969 nucleotides) under Stheneboea repudiosa. RNAcentral describes it as "SSU rRNA". It matches the Rfam family "Eukaryotic small subunit ribosomal RNA", at positions 422 to 1330 of the family's 1831-position model. Lineage: Eukaryota; Metazoa; Arthropoda; Insecta; Phasmatodea; Lonchodidae. The record is from RNAcentral.
GAAGCAGCAGGCGCGCAAAUUACCCACUCCCGGCACGGGGAGGUAGUGACGANAAAUAACGAUACGGGACUCAUCCGAGGCCCCGUAAUCGGAAUGAGGACACUUUAAACCCUUUAACGAGUAUCCAUUGGAGGGCAAGUCUGGUGCCAGCAGCCGCGGUAAUUCCAGCUCCAAUAGCGUAUAUUAAAGUUGUUGCGGUUAAAAAGCUCGUAGUUGGACUUGUGUCCCACGCUGUCGGUUCACCGUUNGUCGGUGUUUAACUGGCAUGCCCGUGCGGACGUCCUGCCGGUGGAUGCGGUCGGCCGUAGGCCUCUGGUCUGCGUGUCGGCGGUCCGAUGCAAUCCUACCGCGGUGCUCUUCACCGAGUGUCGAGGUGGGCCGGCACGUUUACUUUGAACAAAUUAGAGUGCUCAAAGCAGGCAGUGGUUCGCCUGAAUAUUGUGUGCAUGGAAUAAUGGAAUAGGACCUCGGUUCUAUUUUGUUGGUUUUCGGAACUUGAGGUAAUGAUUAAUAGGGACAAACGGGGGCAUUCGUAUUGCGACGUUAGAGGUGAAAUUCUUGGAUCGUCGCAAGACGAACCUAAGCGAAAGCAUUUGCCAUGAGUGUUUUCAUUAAUCAAGAACGAAAGUUAGAGGUUCGAAGGCGAUCAGAUACCGCCCUAGUUCUAACCAUAAACGAUGCCAGCUAGCGAUCCGCCGAAGUUCCUCCGAUGACUCGGCGGGCAGCUUCCGGGAAACCAAAGCUUUUGGGUUCCGGGGGAAGUAUGGUUGCAAAGCUGAAACUUAAAGGAAUUGACGGAAGGGCACCACCAGGAGUGGAGCCUGCGGCUUAAUUUGACUCAACACGGGAAACCUCACCAGGCCCGGACACCGGAAGGAUUGACAGAUUGAGAGCUCUUUCUUGAUUCGGUGGGUGGUGGUGCAUGGCCGUUCUUAGUUGGUGGAGCGAUUUGUCUGGUUAAUUCNAUAG